GUUCAGUACAAUCCACGAUUUCAGGCACCCUCCAGGGGUCUUGGAAUGUAUCCCUCAUGAACAAGCGCCAUCGCCCGUUGUAAUUGAUGUGUUCAUCAAGUCUGAUGGGAACCCUGCUAAUUUCUCACAAGAAACUGGAUCAGCUGCAGUUAUUUCUGCCAAUACCCCAGUUGGAUGUUUCCAUUUAGAUGCCAGCUGUACACUUCUCUUCACAGGAAAGACAAGGCACCAAGACAAGCGGGAGCCACACCAAAGACUUGGAUGAUGUCAGGGCCAGCAAGGGCUUUGGGCGGAGGAGGCUCCACUGGCUGGAACUGAAUCAACCAGAACGCACAGAUCCCCGGAGGGUGGACACGCUCCCGACGCUUCUGCUCAGAGGUGCUACACAG
RNAcentral lists this long non-coding RNA (389 nucleotides) under Callithrix jacchus (white-tufted-ear marmoset). RNAcentral describes it as "lncRNA (ENSCJAG00000070892.1)". Lineage: Eukaryota; Metazoa; Chordata; Mammalia; Primates; Cebidae. The record is from RNAcentral.